AGAAGAGAACUCUUCCUCGAAACCAUCACCCUUGAGGUCUGGCUUCUCUUCGUUUGGCUCGUACGGAAGAUCAAACGGGUUUCUCCUCGCGAACAUAAUGGACGGAGCAGAGCCAGGGAUAGGUGGUAGUCCCAUACCAUCAUAUGAAAGAUCAAAUGGAUUAUGCCUUGCGGUUGAGAUUGGCGGCAUAUUAAAUGGAACAUCAGCACAGUCGAAAUCAAUGAGAUUUCUCUCUGCCACCAUUCUCAUAUUGUUACGAGCCCUUCUCCUGGCGAUAAGACUCUCCAACCGUUGGUUUCUUUCGAGCUCGAGACUUCCUAGAUCCAUGACGUUCUUUUGGUCAGCCUCUGUCCAUUUGAUAGGUGAUUUAAUUUCAUCUUCCUUCUUCUCCUCUUCCUCUUCCUCUUCUUCCUUCUUGUUGUCGUCCUCUUCACCAUGACUUUCGCUGUUAACAUCAGACUCCGUUCCUUCAUCGCUAUCACUACUACUCAUAUCUGGCUCCUCUGAAGUUGCAUUUGAUCCAUCAAGAUCUGCAAUACCAAGACCUGGAUUCUCUGAGUGUAAAAGCGGGUGAAGCUCAUCAAGCAUGGGGAUGAUGUCUGUCAUAGAAGGGUCAGGUGAAGAACUUUCCGCACCAUCAGAACUAGAAUCCAGUGAGUCAUCAUCGCCCUCCUCAUGCCUCAUUGGUCUCCAAGGUGAAACUGGAGAUACAUCCACCUGAUCUUCCUUUGAAUCCUCCAUCAUAUCAUCUAAAGAUCCACCAUGUGAAACUCGCUUCCCGUCAUCAUUUCCAAUCAACUUCUCCUCUUCUCCAUCUCCCUUCUUCUCCAAAUCCAAAUCAAAUGCUCUCUCCUCAAACCUUACCUGGGUAUCUCGUUCCACUAAUCUAUCAUCAUCAUCUUUCUCCGUGCUCACGCACCUCUCAACCGUAAAACUCUCACCCUCUCUCUCAACAACACUAGGAUCCCUCGUAACCUCAGCUGUGAAAAGAGCAGCCUCGUUAACAGUAGCCUCCGGUUCUGUUUCGAUCUCAGGUAUAAUAUUUGGCUCUCCGAAACUAAGAAUCGUUCCAAGCAAAACGAAUGUGCAAACCAAAACAGGAGAUGCAGCUACCAAAGGAGAAAACAAAAGAGGACAAGCUCUAUACAGAAGAUACACAACCCCAACAAAGCCGAGGAGAUAGGGAUGACUGCAGAUCCAUCUAUAGGAAGUUCUGAUCAUGAUGACGAAUAACCUCCGUAUAUGAACUCUGAACUCAGACCGAUCACUGAUCAUACUGUUUCCUUCUUCUUGUCCAGGUUGUUUUCUGUAUAAAGAAGUAAGAGCAACAAUCACGAAUCAGAUGGUGCAAGAUAACAUUACUAGAAUAAAUCUGAAACGAAGUUGACAUUUAUUAGAUAUGCAACUUUCAACCAUAAAUAAUAAUAAUCGGAUCUAACGCACACGAGUAGAGAGAGAAAGGUAAAUCAUUUCAAUCAGAUGGAGAAUUAGAUCGAGUAUUCUGAUGAACUCACUCACCAGUCUCACCAGGUACGAGCAAACAGAUCGUGGAGAAAACAGUUUGACUAAACUAUACAGUGAAGAUGAAGAAGAAGAAAGAAUAGGACGAGUGGGCUAAUAUGAUUGUUUGUUGUUUCGCUUUCUUUACAGCAAAACAAAUGUAAUUCUUCGUUGGCCUCUAUUUGUAUCUCCUGAUAUUACGGUGGUGGCGGUGGCUACUACUUUCGGCACAAUUAUUAUUAUUGUUUUUUUUUCCGAGCAGGUUUCUUCUUCUUUUUACUUGACCAAAAAGACGAUUUAUUUCAAAAUUAGUAAAUAUUUCUUUACGUAGAUAUGUAUAAACAACAUUAACCUUUUUUUGGAAACAUAAAACAGCAUUAACCUAAACUACAAACAUCCAUCUAUAGUACUAUUAUUAAUAUAACUCAAAGUGCUGCAGAAAUUACUUAAUAUUGCUAUGUUUACUUAAUAACUCAAAAUGCCACAAUGUUUAAUAUGGAAAUAUUUUGAUCUACACGUCCGUGAAAGUAUUUUUUAUAGAUAAAGUUAGGAUCAGUUAUUCUUCUAAUAUGUUUUCAUAUUAUGUUGGUUACACAUAUUGUUAUUUUAUGAUAGAUUUAUUUUGCUGAAUAUAAAAUCUACUUAUUAAAAAACUCGGAAGAUUAAAAACAAUAACAUACUCCCUCCGUUUUAUAAUUUUGGCUAAAAGCACAAAAAAUUAAGAAAAUUAUUAUGUUUUAAAAAGUAUUGUAUAAUAAAUAGGUUAGAUAUAAAUUAAUCCAUCAAAAAUAAGUCUAUUAAUAUGAUUGGUCAUACUAUAUUUAAUAAAUGUAAAAAUUACUUAGAAAUAUGAAAACUGGUUUGUUACAGAUUUUCAUUCCAUUUUUAACUAAUUUUAACCACUUCUUUUAUUAUCUUUCUAAUUAAUUCGACAACAUUUAUUACAAAUUAUAAAACACAACUUACCUAUUUAAAAUUUUUUAUUACAUCUUCCUUUUUUUCAUUUUUCCUAACUACUUCGUUAGUUAUAUUUAUAAUAAUAAUUAAAAAUCACUUAUUUUACAUGUUAACCAUAAUAAUUUCAUAGAUUUGAAUGAAAUUGUUUCAUUCGUAACAAAAAUUCAAACUGAUUAACAAAUUAUUUUUUUAUUUGUUUACAAAAUCAGUUAGACAUAGUCAUCCAAAUACCCAUUCGAAUAUGAAUCAUGUUUUGAAACCACGUUUUUCGAGUUUUAAAAUUAAACUUCAUUCGCAUAUUACAAAUUUUUGGACAGGGUUCAAGUUGGAUUUUUCCAGAUCCGGAUAUGUUCGUAAAAACUUAAAAAUUAAACUCUGUGCAGACGCACAGAUCAAGUUAUAGUUUACAUUAUAAACAUAGAAUAUUUAGCAGUAGAAUUGGUUCCAACCAUGCUUUGUCCCCACUAUACAACGGUUAAUUUCCCCUCUUGCCCACUUAUACUUCCCUUUUUAUUUAUUUUUAUCAUUCCCCUCCCCCCCCUACAGUUGAAUUAUUUUGACCAUCAAUUCCAACAUCCGAAAUGAGAAGGCUUGUCUCCCCUGUAACAUGAGUGCUACUCUCUCCUACUUCCCUUGUACUUGUUUCAGUCUCACCAGGACCUAUGCUUUCAGAACAUACUUCACGUUCGUUAUCUGUAUUUUCUUGUACUUCUUCGCCACUAUUUCCAGGUAGAUCUGCUUUGUAAUCAGAUGAUACUGAAGAAAAUGAGGGGAAUCUACUGGCUGAGGGAGGAGUCGAAUCGUAAACAGGUGUUUCGUGGUGGUCGCCCACCAACCCACAAAGAUCAUGAAUUGCUGACUCCUCCCGAGAGAGAAGUGCAGUAAUGAAAGCAGGCUCCUCAUCAUGGUGAUAAACAUCCUCCAUCCCUCUUGCAACAUGAAUAUCUGAUCCUCCAAAAGAAGUACCUGAUUUCUCAUGAAAAUCAACUUCCCGCUCAGAAACCAACAUUGCUUCAUCCUCACUAAUAUGCGCUAUCUCUUCUUCUAUCUCUGAUAAAGACGCAUCACCAUCACUGGAAUCCUCUUCAUCCUGUUUUGUGUUAUCGGGAGUUUCUCCGUCCAUCAUGUUUGAUUGCUCAUGGUGUGUUGCACUUCCCAGUAUUAUCUCAGCCACAUCACGAUGAGGAUUUUUGCUAUCAGCUUGUUCAUCACCAUCGGAAUCUUCUGACGAGUGGCCUUUUUCUUCAUCAUGGUCAGAAGCCAUAUCAGUUUUAGCUAUCUCGGUUUCUCGAUCAGCAUCAUCUUCAUCCACCUUCUUUUCGUCAUCCUCCAGGAUUGUGCAGACAGAUUCAGUAUCAGGUACAGAACUGAGUUUUGAUUCACUAACUUCACUGAGCUGCCUUUCAAACGGAUAAUAGCUCGCUCUCUCGUGUGCUAAUCUUUCCAGCACGAAGAAAGGUCGUAGCCUAUCAUGUCUGGGACCUCCGAGCAUCGAUGGACCUACACUGAAACUCUCAUGUCUUCUGAACACUGGCUCCUUAGGUUGUGGAGAAGAGAACUCUUCCUCGAAACCAUCACCCUUGAGGUCUGGCUUCUCUUCGUUUGGCUCGUACGGAAGAUCAAACGGGUUUCUCCUCGCGAACAUAAUGGACGGAGCAGAGCCAGGGAUAGGUGGUAGUCCCAUACCAUCAUAUGAAAGAUCAAAUGGAUUAUGCCUUGCGGUUGAGAUUGGCGGCAUAUUAAAUGGAACAUCAGCACAGUCGAAAUCAAUGAGAUUUCUCUCUGCCAC
RNAcentral lists this long non-coding RNA (4246 nucleotides) under Brassica napus (rape). RNAcentral's name for it is "long non-coding RNA (BNAP_LNC008882)". The record is from RNAcentral. Lineage: Eukaryota; Viridiplantae; Streptophyta; Magnoliopsida; Brassicales; Brassicaceae.